CAUUUUCUGUUUUAGAGGAAUGCACGCAGUUGUAAAUGUGAACUGGUGGAUGGUUAAGAAGCUGAUGUGUCUUCUAGAAAUCUAAACAAAUUUGUGCAGAAUAUGAGACAGGCAGAAUAACCAUAGGUCCAUUAGUGUCAACUGUCUUUGCCAAUGGGUGGAUCCACACUGCAAAACUUAUGAAGAUGAUUGCAAAGCGAAGAAGAGUCCUUGGACAAAGCAUUAAACCCUCUUGGUCCCCACUACACAGACUAAUGACGUUGAAGUACCCAAAUGAAGACACUAGCAGUGUUAUUAUGGAGUAUAUGGAUACAGACGUUGGCAGCACUCAGGAGGUGAUCCAGAGGAAUCAUGGGAAUCUAUGUCAUACGAUUUGAAGGUGCAGACAUUGAAGACAGCACAGCAGAUGUUGGAGUGUUGGAAAAUAAAGUUCUUCAGGA
Labeo rohita (rohu) is the source of this 440-nucleotide long non-coding RNA. RefSeq lists it as uncharacterized. The record is from RefSeq and is a predicted model, not a curated record. The transcript has 4 exons. NCBI's taxonomy places the organism in Eukaryota, Metazoa, Chordata, Actinopteri, Cypriniformes, Cyprinidae.